AUACGUAGGGUGCAAGCGUUAAUCGGAAUUACUGGGCGUAAAGCGUGCGCAGGCGGUUAUAUAAGACAGAUGUGAAAUCCCCGGGCUCAACCUGGGAACUGCAUUUGUGACUGUAUAGCUAGAGUACGGCAGAGGGGGAUGGAAUUCCGCGUGUAGCAGUGAAAUGCGUAGAUAUGCGGAGGAACACCGAUGGCGAAGGCAAUCCCCUGGGCCUGUACUGACGCUCAUGCACGAAAGCGUGGGGAGCAAACAGGAUUAGAUACCCUGGUAGUCCACGCCCUAAACGAUGUCAACUGGUUGUUGGGAAUUCACUUUCUCAGUAACGAAGCUAACGCGUGAAGUUGACCGCCUGGGGAGUACGGCCGCAAGGUUGAA
Molecule: ribosomal RNA, 375 nt
Filed under: uncultured bacterium
Lineage: Bacteria
Description: bacterial SSU rRNA
Rfam family: Bacterial small subunit ribosomal RNA
Source: RNAcentral